UCCUACGGGGGGCAGCAGUGGGGAAUAUUGCACAAUGGGGGGAACCCUGAUGCAGCGACGCCGCGUGAGUGAAGAAGUAUUUCGGUAUGUAAAGCUCUAUCAGCAGGGAAGAAAAUGACGGUACCUGACUAAGAAGCCCCGGCUAACUACGUGCCAGCAGCCGCGGUAAUACGUAGGGGGCAAGCGUUAUCCGGAAUCACUGGGCGUAAAGGGCGCGUAGGCGGUUUAAUAAGUCAGUGGUGAAAACUGAGG
Molecule: ribosomal RNA, 252 nt
Filed under: uncultured bacterium
Lineage: Bacteria
Description: partial 16S ribosomal RNA
Rfam family: Bacterial small subunit ribosomal RNA
Source: RNAcentral